AAACAAACCUGAAAUUCCAUCCAGAAUGACACAUGAAACAUCACAUAAACAGCUUUUAUAAGCCUGCUUUGCCUCUGAUUAUUUAUUUCAAUUAAGUAAUUAAGAGAACUACUGCAAAAAGGACUGCUUCUGUAACUCUGCUAAGCUUUUGUGAGUAAAAUAAUAUAUUUAUCAGGAAAAAAAAUCUUUUUUGGGUCUUUUUCUGCAGCUUAAACAAGUACAGUUUGAGUCGGCAAAGGCAGUGCGCCAAACAGUUAGGAGAGACAGACAAAAAGAUGCUGAGGUCAGCAGGACCAAUUUACUUAAUGAGAAAGAUAAAGAUAAAAGAAGGCAGUCAGCAAAACAUGAGGUUUGGGCGAGGCGGGAUUAGAAAUGAACAAGCAGCCUCAGUGAGACGAAGGAUAAGGAACCAUAAAUGGUGGCUUGUUAAAUGUUGGAUCUAAUGAAGCUACUUAAUUAUAUUUAUUUACUUAAAUUUAAUCAUUCUCAUUAAGACAAUACAGCAUUUCAUUAAUUUAAUAUGUGCUCUCCUGGGGAUUGUUCGCCAAAUUAAAAGUACAUUUUGAAAAUAAACUUUCAGCAGAUGUUAAACAUUUCUUUAUCAAAAUCAUAAUAUUCUAUAUUUCAUUAGCUGUAAGCAGAAAUCGGUGAAUUAAAUUAACUUUGUUUAUAAUGCGUGUGCGUGGACUAAAAGGAUCAGAAUUAUUGUCUCAAACCUUUUGUUUACAUUUUCAGAAGUAUAGCAGGUCAUGACGUUCAGAGUUUGAACUUUGUUUAAAUGAGUCUAAAUAAAAAAAUAAUCAUGAUGCCUCAGCUAUAAAUUUUGCACUUGGCCAUGGUUUAACAAUUGCAGAAUUCAAAUAUUAUUUCAGUUCAGUCUAGAGUCUGAAGAUGAUGGCUUUCUGCACAAGCCUUGAUCAGAGUAUGUUUUAUCAGAUUUUUGAGUGUCUGUGAAGCUACAAUUCAGCUCCAGGCUGUUAGUCUCAUGUAUAGAUGGAAGUAUAAUGCUACAUAUUAAACUCUCCCACUCCAUAUUCAGCCACUUAAAAGCAUCCUGACAGAAUGAUACUGCCCUCACCAUGUUUCACUGAAGGCUGUUCCUAUAUUCACAGCUGUAGUGAAUUUAAAUGUGACCUAUUAUGCUUUUUUGAGCAGGUUAGGAUAGGUCUAUGGGCUAUACCAAACAUACUCAUUAGAUAUUUAGCACAAAAUCAUUCUGCCUGAUCUGUUUUAGGGCCUCUUGUCAUGUUAAAUCCAAAUAACUUGUUGCUGGCCCCAACUCAACGUUUACACUCACCCAUGAAAAUGGCUGCAAACAGAUGCAGUGCAAUUAAACAACCGUACAUCUUUGAAAAGCAUUAGUAGAGUGUCCUGCACAACCAACAAGAAUUUAGCAAGCGGUUUCUGGAUGUUAAGUGAACAACAAAACACUUGUAUUUUCCUGCUGCUUUUGUACAGCACAUAAAGCAGUAAAACCAGCUGACCAAAUAUGCUGGAGUUCUGCUUGGGUUGCUAGGUAACAGGCGGACCUCUGCUGGGGUUGCUAGGUGAAGGCCAGUGCCUGCUAAUUUGUGACCUGUUACAUUCA
Long non-coding RNA from Xiphophorus couchianus (Monterrey platyfish), 1588 nucleotides. RefSeq lists it as uncharacterized. The transcript has 2 exons. NCBI's taxonomy places the organism in Eukaryota, Metazoa, Chordata, Actinopteri, Cyprinodontiformes, Poeciliidae. The record is from RefSeq and is a predicted model, not a curated record.